GGGGAAUAUUGCACAAUGGGCGAAAGCCUGAUGCAGCAACGCCGCGUGAGUGAAGAAGGUUUUCGGAUUGUAAAGCUCUGUCAUCUGGGACGAUAAUGACGGUACCAGAUGAGGAAGCCACGGCUAACUACGUGCCAGCAGCCGCGGUAAUACGUAGGUGGCAAGCGUUGUCCGGAUUUACUGGGCGUAAAGGGAGCGUAGGUGGAUAUUUAAGUGGGAUGUGAAAUACUCGGGCUUAACCUGGGUGCUGCAUUCCAAACUGGAUAUCUAGAGUGCAGGAGAGGAAAGUAGAAUUCCUAGUGUAGCGGUGAAAUGCGUAGAGAUUAGGAAGAACACCAGUGGCGAAGGCGGUUCUCUGGACUGUAACUGACGCUGAGGCACGAAAGCGUGGGUAGCAAAC
Molecule: ribosomal RNA, 400 nt
Filed under: uncultured bacterium
Lineage: Bacteria
Description: bacterial SSU rRNA
Rfam family: Bacterial small subunit ribosomal RNA
Source: RNAcentral